GGGGAUUGUCCGCGCUGACGCUCAUAGCAGUCGAGCGCACACCGGUCUUUGUUCAUUAAUCGGUUCCCUGUAAAGAUGACAUCCGAUUAAGACAAAACACGUCGCCCGAUCACUAUAAAAGACCUAUGCAAAUGCCAAUGCCACAACACUGUAAUGAAACAGUCGCACUGGUCAUACAGCUACCAACGCAAUUAGAUAGCUUAUCAAUCCAAUACGUGCCUACCUGUCGACAAUCAUCAUGAAAACUUUCACACUUUGCCUAAUGGUUCUGCUUGGAUGCCUCUUGAUGUUCAGUCCAGUUUCGGCUCAAUGGGGCGGGCGUGGUGGCCGUGGAGGCGAUAGCAGCAGCGAGGAGAGCGGUGAGCGUGGUGGAAAUGGCGGUGGUUGGUUCGGAGGGCGCGGUGGACGCGGAGGUGGUGGUUCACGUGGUGGAUACGGUGGAGGUCGUGGUGGGGACUACGAUUAGGUUGGCAUUUCCCAUCUACCGCAGUAGAAACAAUACACUCGUAAUAAUGUAAAAUACUAUGUGAAAUUACUAAAUUGUUGGAACAAAAAGUAAUA
Molecule: long non-coding RNA, 561 nt
Organism: Rhagoletis pomonella (apple maggot)
Lineage: Eukaryota; Metazoa; Arthropoda; Insecta; Diptera; Tephritidae
Exons: 2
Source: RefSeq, a predicted model, not a curated record